AAGGACAUAAGGAUUUAGAUUUAAUUGGGAUUUAGGACUGUACGGUCGCUAAGGAAGAGAGGCAAACGUCAGUGUGGUCUUCACAGGGCGCCAUGCAGGUGCCGAGGUAACGCUUUGGCAUCAGGUAGUCGAGCGGUCUCGUUUCCCGCCCAUUUCCAUCGCCUGCUGCCAGUGCCGCCGCCGGCGAGGAUUCUGAUGCCCUCGAAAAGGACCCGCGCACGCAGCAGCCGGAAGAGCCUCCUCUCCAACGGCGGCGCACGGCUGACCCCUGGCGGCCCCAAGCAAGGCCGCUUUGCGCUCCCCGAGGCGAGCAGGUCACAAGAAGCUGCUAAAGAAAAAAAUGCUGCUUUGGACACUAGAGAACGGGGAAAGAAAAACUAGAGGGCGUGGGAAGAUUUCACCACCCCUUCAGAAGCUGAUGUUUUCUCCCCUGGAAUUAACCGAAGAGAGCUCUGAGACCUGCGUGCACGGAAGUUCUUGCUUUGGCACCCACUGCGGUUCCAGCCUUUACUNCCCCAGAUUCUCAGUGCAAAUGCUGGAGGCCUGGCAUUACCCACCCUGCCGACAGGCCUAAAACUUUCCCUGCUGAACGCUGUCCUGUGGCGGAAGCCAUCGCAGGGUCGGCCUGGCUCCUGGGCUGAAGUUGCCUGUCCAGUCCGUUGCUAGAUUACUGCUCCACAGUGUUCACAAACGCCGAGCAAAAGCAUCCCUUUUGGACCCCCUCACAACCCCCCCGGACUGUUCCAUUUUCGAGAAACGUGUAGCCACACUUUCCC
This 776-nucleotide long non-coding RNA is filed under the name Salvator merianae (Argentine black and white tegu). RNAcentral describes it as "lncRNA (ENSSMRG00000011524.1)". Lineage: Eukaryota; Metazoa; Chordata; Lepidosauria; Squamata; Teiidae. The record is from RNAcentral.